CAGGCGAUAGGUAGUUGCGGACUCAUGGUACAAAAAAGUCCACGGACUUAAUUUAGUGAGUCUGAGGAAAGUCCGGGCUCCCGAAAGAUCAAACUUGCUGGGUAACGCCCAGUGCGGGCGACCGUGAGGAUAGUGCCACAGAAAGAUACCGCCGCUUGAAAGGCUCAAGCUCAAGGCUAAAGGCUAAAUCAUGGUUUAGCCUUCAUACCUUAGCUUUUAGCCUUUCCUCGGUAAGGGUGCAAAGGUGCGGUAAGAGCGCACCAGCAGCAUCGAGAGAUGCUGGCUCGGUAAACCCCGGUUGGAAGCAAGGCUGCGGAACAAGGGUUGGUCUUUUACCCGUUCCACGCAAAGGUGGCGAUCCCAUCUCUGCCCGUCCGCUUGAGGUGCUUGGUAACAAGUUGCCCAGAUAGAUAACUGCCCUCUCAAAUGCAUGUCAUUUGAGAUAACAGAACCCGGCUUAUGUCCUGCUCU
This 471-nucleotide RNase P RNA is filed under the name Leptolyngbya sp. ES-bin-22. Its description in RNAcentral is "Bacterial RNase P class A". It matches the Rfam family "Bacterial RNase P class A". Rfam says of the family: Ribonuclease P (RNase P) is a ubiquitous endoribonuclease, found in archaea, bacteria and eukarya as well as chloroplasts and mitochondria. Its best characterised activity is the generation of mature 5'-ends of tRNAs by cleaving the 5'-leader elements of precursor-tRNAs. Cellular RNase Ps are ribonucleoproteins. Lineage: Bacteria; Bacillati; Cyanobacteriota; Cyanophyceae; Leptolyngbyales; Leptolyngbyaceae. The record is from Rfam by way of RNAcentral.